UACGGAGGGCGCAAGCGCUGUUCGGAAUCACUGGGCGUAAAGCGCGUGUAGGCGGCCCUGCAAGUCGGGUGUGAAAUCCCGAGGCUCAACCUCGGAACUGCACUCGAAACUGCUUGGCUCGAGUCCCGGAGAGGGUGGCGGAAUUCCAGGUGUAGGGGUGAAAUCCGUAGAUAUCGGGAGGAACACCAGUGGCGAAGGCGGCCACCUGGACGGUGACUGACGCUGAGACGAGAAAGCGUGGGGAGCAAACAGG
RNAcentral lists this ribosomal RNA (253 nucleotides) under uncultured bacterium. RNAcentral describes it as "partial 16S ribosomal RNA". It matches the Rfam family "Bacterial small subunit ribosomal RNA", at positions 524 to 776 of the family's 1533-position model. The record is from RNAcentral.